CAUGACUACUAACUGCCGAAGCUUUGUUUGCUUAGUUGUUUCUUAGUCAGCAGAAACACUAGCAGCAGCCAGUCAUAGUGAUGGUGUCAAGUCACAUGAUACAAUCAGUCCCAGUCGUGUACUAAAGAAACCAAUAGUAACAGAUGACGUGUUAUUGUUAAUGACGCUGACUGGCAAACCUGAUUUCUGCUGAAUAACUGAAACUGUUGUCUGGAUGAUACCAGCUGUCAAUCACACAGGUUGUUGGUGUGUUGCAGUAAGUUCCAGGAAAUUUCUUAGAGUCUGCAGGGCGUUGUUCACCAUCUCUGCCUGUCGAUCACAAAGAGUCACACAGACAGGUGGGGACACAGCAUCUGCCGCAUGAAGACCCCCAGACCAACAGCUGCUCCUUCCGGACUUUACCCUGUUGUUCUUAUGUCUCCUGAACUCUGUGGCCUGGUAUCUGAUAUUUUGGGGCUAUAUUAGUCCACAGACUGGAGUUUGCUGUGAUGGGGCCAAGUGGAACUUCAAAUACAGACCUCACAGUGUCCUGUGCUGUACUCAGGAACCAUAAUAUAAGAUAAUGUAAGCAAAGUUUAUUGAGUCACUAAUAAAAGGA
Molecule: long non-coding RNA, 598 nt
Organism: Solea senegalensis (Senegalese sole)
Lineage: Eukaryota; Metazoa; Chordata; Actinopteri; Pleuronectiformes; Soleidae
Exons: 3
Source: RefSeq, a predicted model, not a curated record